GAUGAACGCUAGCGGCAGGCUUAACACAUGCAAGUCGAGGGGUAGAAGGAGCUUGCUCCUUUGAGACCGGCGCACGGGUGCGUAACGCGUAUGCAAUCUACCUUUUGCAGAGGGAUAGCCCAGAGAAAUUUGGAUUAAUACCUCAUAGUAUGUGAGGAUGGCAUCAUUUUCACAUUAAAGUCACAACGGCAAAGAUGAGCAUGCGUCCCAUUAGCUAGUUGGUAAGGUAACGGCUUACCAAGGCUACGAUGGGUAGGGUCCUGAGAGGGAGACUCCCCCACACUGGUACUGAGACACGGACCAGACUCCUACGGGAGGCAGCAGUGAGGAAUAUGGACAAUGGGCGCAAGCCUGAUCCAGCCAUGCCGCGUGCAGGAUGACGUCC
RNAcentral lists this ribosomal RNA (385 nucleotides) under uncultured bacterium. RNAcentral describes it as "bacterial SSU rRNA". It matches the Rfam family "Bacterial small subunit ribosomal RNA", at positions 28 to 416 of the family's 1533-position model. The record is from RNAcentral.